UUUUUACUAACACAAUAAUAUUAUAAAAGUCAACACCGUUACUGUAAUUGAAAAAAUAAAUAAAUAAUAAAAAAAACCUAAAUAUAACCAUAAAAAAAUAUUAAUCUCUAGCAUGAGGUGCAAAAAGAAUAGAAAAAUUAUACACAUGUAUAUUCUCACACCCUUUGCAAGUAGUGCUUUUGCCGAAUCAAUGUAUAUUCCAAAUUAUUCAUAUUGUUUCUGUGCUAUAU
This 230-nucleotide long non-coding RNA is filed under the name Lathyrus oleraceus (garden pea). Its description in RNAcentral is "Pisum sativum (pea) long non-coding RNA (PSAT_LNC025676)". Lineage: Eukaryota; Viridiplantae; Streptophyta; Magnoliopsida; Fabales; Fabaceae. The record is from RNAcentral.